AACGCAAAGAGGGCUCUGCGCGAGUCCGGGCUUGUUUGGGCUCAAUAGAAAAAUAACGGGUAACCACAGAAAAAGCACGUUUCAUGUGUUUGAACUAAGCGCGUUACUGACUGGCAUUCAGCCUGUGAUGCUUUGCCAUCCAAAGAUGAUCACGGUGAUCAAAUAGCUCUCGUUUGGGUUUUUUUUCAUCGGCGCUGUAAGUUAGCGGAGUUCCCGGGUAGGUUCUGCUUGGUCUUGCACACUGAGCGAUGGUGCCCUUUAAACACACGUGCUUGAAGUUCUUAGUGACUGAGGCCUUUUAUUGCGCUAGUGGUGUUGCCAUUGGUAUGUUAUUAGUUAAUGAAGAGCCUGAAAUCCUUGGAUUAGAAACUCCCACGGUGCCGGGAGCGCGGCGUGCAGAGGGCUGAGAAUAGAGAUGCUUCCUUAAUUUGCGUUUAGUUUGGAUAGGAAGGGUUAAGAAAGUUUUCUAUUCCACGUCAUUUUGAUAGGGUCAGCUGGACUUAAAGGAAAGCUAAUGCAGCUAUUUAAUAAUGCCAAAAAGGGUAAUUUAAAUUGUUUUCUGGUCUUCCACAUAGCCCGUAAGUGGCACAGAAAUGGCAUCAAGAAACCCAGAUCCCAUAGAUACGAAUCUCUCAAAGGGGUUGAUCCCAAGUUUCUGAGGAACAUGAGAUUUGCAAAGAAACACAACAAAAAGGGGCUGAAGAAGAUGCAGGCCAACAAUGCCAAGCAGGCUGCUCAGCAGAAAAAGGACUGACAUGGUUUAAGACAAAAGAACCAGUUUUCCUAUUGGCAUGCGUGUUACAGCAUUUUUGUAAAAAUAAAAUUGGAUGUAACAAAGUCUUCACCUCCGGAAUUUGAGGAGAGCCCUCCAAAA
Long non-coding RNA from Aptenodytes forsteri (emperor penguin), 874 nucleotides. RefSeq lists it as uncharacterized. Lineage: Eukaryota; Metazoa; Chordata; Aves; Sphenisciformes; Spheniscidae. The record is from RefSeq and is a predicted model, not a curated record. The transcript is spliced from 2 exons.